ACUAAACUUGACAAGAUGGAAGGAACUUGUGUUUUAAAUAAACAAAGCUCAAAACACACACACUGUGUGCGUAUUUGAGAUCGACCAGGCCAAAGGAAGAGGGGUAAACCCUAAAUUUCAAGAAAUCUUCAAAUCAAAAAGGGAAUUGAAGGAUUUUAGGAUGCAUGUAUCAAGAUUAUCGAUCUCCUAAGUGUUCUUCACUAUCAAGAUCAUGUCAAGAUGGGGGAAACAUGGAAGGAUACAUAAAGGAUAUGAGGAAGCAUACACGAGACGGGCACUCGAGGUAUCGCUCGGGUUUUCUCUACCACUAGCGAAGUGAAACAGACAUAGAUCGAGUUGAGAGCAAAGGAUUGUACGGGAAAGAAAGGU
Long non-coding RNA from Helianthus annuus (common sunflower), 369 nucleotides. RefSeq lists it as uncharacterized. The record is from RefSeq and is a predicted model, not a curated record. The transcript is spliced from 3 exons. NCBI's taxonomy places the organism in Eukaryota, Viridiplantae, Streptophyta, Magnoliopsida, Asterales, Asteraceae.